This 374-nucleotide ribosomal RNA is filed under the name uncultured organism. RNAcentral describes it as "partial 16S ribosomal RNA". It matches the Rfam family "Bacterial small subunit ribosomal RNA", at positions 526 to 896 of the family's 1533-position model. The record is from RNAcentral.
GAGGGGGUGCAAACGUUAUUCGGAUUUACUGGGUGUAAAGGGUGUGUAGACGGUUUAUUAAGUUUGUUGUUAAAUCUUUCGGGCCUAACCGAAAGUUCGCGAUGAAAACUAAUAGACUUGAGGAUGGAAGAGAGAAGCGGAAUUCUCGGAGUAGCGGUAAAAUGCGUAGAUCUCGAGAGGAACACCGAUGGCGAAGGCAGCUUCUUGGUCCAUUUCUGACGUUGAGACACGAAAGCGUGGGGAGCAAACAGGAUUAGAUACCCUGGUAGUCCACGCUGUAAACGAUGAUCACUAGAUGUCAGCUUUGCUUAGCAGAGUUGGUAUCCGAGCUAACGCAUUAAGUGAUCCACCUGGGAACUACGGUCGCAAGAUUA